This 3026-nucleotide long non-coding RNA is filed under the name Homo sapiens (human). RNAcentral describes it as "non-protein coding lnc-SLC51A-14:1". The record is from RNAcentral. Lineage: Eukaryota; Metazoa; Chordata; Mammalia; Primates; Hominidae.
GUGCAUGGCGCUGCAGUACACACUAAUCAACCAUGACGAUGUGUGUGAGUGUAAGCGUGCCUGGCGCUGCAGUACACGCUAAUCAACCAUGACGCUGCCAUCGUAAGGGAUGGCUGAGAGUUUGUCUUUAUGAACGUGGGACAGUAAGUGGGGCACGGAGCGGUCUUGACUCCUGCGUCGUCAUUCCCUGAGGUCCACAGGACAACCAGUUGGGGACCUGGGGCCCCAUCCUGAUGCCCUGGGGAGAGGUGCUAGGCCCCUUUUGGGUCUAUGGGCUACUUUUGGGCCAGUGGAGCUGGGUAAAGACCAUCUCAAACCCUGUGCCAGGGGAGGUCAGACUCCAAGAGCGCCACCUUUGGGCUUCCAGCUGUGUAGGCUGGACCAAGAAGGCUCAGAGAAUUAGGGGGUUCGUAUUUGAUCCUUUUCCUUCCAAGACUGGGAUUACCAGAUAAAACACAGGGCAUCCAAAUGGCGAUGACUUCUACCAAGUAUACUGCUUGUAAACAUUUUGUUAACAAGGCACGUCCUGCACAGCCCUAGAUCCCUUAAACCUUGAUUUUAUACAACACAUGUUUUUAUGAGCUCAAGGUUGGGGCAAUGUAUACUCUAGAUGAGGACCAUGAUUGGGAUGUAUUUGUACAAGUUGGGAAAAUUCUCCUAAAACCCACUGGAUAGAACUUCCAAUGGUAAAGUUCCGGGGUCAGGGUUUUGAGGAUGGGGAUGGUGUGGCUUGUUGGAGGUUAGACUGGGUCAGCUCAGUGCAGAUGUCACGGGCCUGGCCUCACUGAGGGGUGGGUUGUUCUCCUAAUGUGUGGUACAAAGUAGCAGAUGGGGCAUGAUGGGAAGUGUCUAAGCUCUGCUCACAGAUGUAACCGUGAAAACAGGCCCAGUGCACAGUCUAAUGUGGAUUGCCUCUUUGACAGUGCCCUUGCUAAUACCUGAAGCUUGCAUUCAGCACCUCUCACAGUCAAUGGGACAGUGCCCUUGCUAAUACCUGAAGCUUGCAUUCAGCACCUCUCACAGUCAAUGGGUGCCACACUGCUGAAAAGUGGCUCAGGCUUCCUGUCAUCCCUUGCAAGGGUAAACCUGGCAGAGAUGCUGGCUGGGGGUCUUAUGCCAGGUGUAGAGUUCAUAGCCAGGCUGGACAGGUGGAAUGAUUGCCCUUAGCAGAGGGAAGCAAGAUAUGUCCGUGGAGAGUGGGAUCCUUUGUUGCAGGCGAAAGAAAACCUCUGUCUGUCGUAAGUAAAAGGGGGAUUUGUUGGCAGCGUCCCAGAGUGCAUAGAAUCAAAGCAAUGCCAGGACAGCAGGCUUGGAAAAUAGGCAGGAGGGCCCCCAGGAGCUCUGAGGUCCAGACAGUGGGAUCAGGCUGGCUGGGACACUGUCCCUCUUGCUGGUCAGUCACUAUUGGAUGCUGCCACAGCCAAGGGGCAUCACGUGGCCUGCACACACAUUCACAUAGGUUCUCGCUGCCUUUUUGUCUCACUGGACUUUUUGCUCCAGAGCCAAAGUCCUGAGUAGGAACAUUUGAUAGGCUGAGCUUAGCCCUUGUACUCCCAUGAGCCCACAGCCAGGUGCCAGGGGACGGGAAGAAGGGAUGUCUGUGUCCUUGGAGUUCUCUUAGCAGCAGUGAGGCCAAUCGUGACUCCCACUGUGAGGAGUUCCCUAAACAUGGCACGGGGGCUCGACACCCGAUGGCCAAAUAAGUGACAAAUGCCCCCGGCAUGUGAUAAUCAAAGUAGCGAGUGUGAAUCCUUGUGGGAGAGGGAAGCCAAUUGCUUUUGUUUUGUUUUGUUUUGUUUUGUUUUGUUUUGUUUUGUUUUCUGAGACUGAGUCUCACUCUGUCAUCCAAGCUGGAGUGCAGUGGUGCGAUCUUGGCUCACCACAACCUCCGCCUCCCAGGUUCAAGCCAUUCUCCUGCCUCAACCUUCUGAGUAGCUGGGAUUACAGGCCCGCACCACCAUACCUGGCUAAUUUUUGUAUUUUUAGUAGAGAUGGAGUUUCAGGUUUCAGCAUCUUGGCCAGGCUAGUCUUGAACUCUUGACCUCAUGAUCCACCCACCUCAGCCUCCCAAAGUGCUGGGAUUACAGGCGUUGAGUCAUUGCGUCCGGCUGGGAAGCCAGUUUUCUUUUUCUUUUUCUUUUUCUUUCUCUUUUUCUUUUCUUUUCUUUUAUUUUUCUUGAGACAGAUUCUCGCUCUGUCGUCCAGGCUGGAGUGCAAUGGCACGAUCUCGGCUCACUGCAACCUCCACCUCCCGGAUUCAAGCAAUUCUCCUGCCUCAACCUCCCUAGUAGCUGGGUUUUAUAGUACAGGGAUUGUGUAUAGUCUCACUGCUACCUCCUCCUUCUACUCCCCCAGGUCUUGGUUUGGACUUUGAUGAUAGCAUUUACUGAGACGGGCCUGGAGCCUGUCGAACAGCCCGCUGCAGCAGGGCAGGGACCACCUUUGUUCAUCUCAGUAUCCCCUGAACUAGCAGAGUGUCUGGCCUGCAGUGGGAUCGCAGAGAAUGUGGAAUUGACCUAAAUUUAAAUUUCAAGUUCUGGACACAAGCCUCAAUUAUUCCUCUUAUAUGUUAUAACUUACAUGCUAUUAUUUUUUUAAAAAAUUAAUAUGGUUUACUUUUUAUUAUAAAAGUAAAACUUGGCCAGGCUCAGUGGCUCACGCCUGUAAUCCCAGCACUUUGGGAGGCCGAGGCCGGUGGAUCACGAGGUCAGGAGUUUGAGACUAGCCUGGCCAACAUGGUGAAACCCCGUCUCUACUAAAAACACGAAAAUUAGCUGGGUGUGGUGGCAGGUGCCUGUAAUCCCAGCUACCCAGGAGGCUGAGACGGGAGAAUCACUUGAACCCGGGAGGCAGAGGUUGCAGUGACCCAAGAUCCUACCACUGCACCCCAGCCUGGGCAAAAGGGCAAGACUCUGUCUCAUAAAUAAAUAAAUUUAAAAUAAAAGUAAAACUUGUUUAUGAUUUCAAAAUUUUGAAAUAUUCCAAAGACCAAGCAAAGUAAGAAGUGGGAAGAGGAGAAAGAAAAA